RNAcentral lists this long non-coding RNA (449 nucleotides) under Carassius auratus (goldfish). Its description in RNAcentral is "lncRNA (ENSCARG00000046591.1)". Lineage: Eukaryota; Metazoa; Chordata; Actinopteri; Cypriniformes; Cyprinidae. The record is from RNAcentral.
AUGAACAUCUCUUUGAAGUGCAGCCCAUUCUGGAAUAUUUUCCCCAAAACACCACAACCACAUAUUGAGGUGUCUCUGCGGGUGGCAGUAGGUGGAGAUAAACCCGGGAGACAGACAAAGAAGGUGGAGACUGUGUGUGUGUGUGUGUGUGUGUGUGUGGAGAGGUGUUUGCUUUUCGGUACAGAUAUAAUCACACAGCCUGUAAUAUAUUUAUUCGUCUUUUUCGGUCUGUUGCAGCUUUCCGUGACCUCAAUUUAUCUCACUGCAGACCGGAACGGCAACAAACAGAUUUCAUAUAUUGGAAGAAGACACAUCUGGAUCCUGUCAACAACACCAGAUGGAUUUGAAGGAUCAACUUGAUUCAGUUUUUCAGCACAUAAUCUCCUUUUUCUUUUAAACAGUGACUCGUCUGCACAAAACACAUCACUGCUGUAGUUAAGAAGUAACAU